Molecule: ribosomal RNA, 497 nt
Filed under: uncultured bacterium
Lineage: Bacteria
Description: partial 16S ribosomal RNA
Rfam family: Bacterial small subunit ribosomal RNA
Source: RNAcentral
GAUGAACGCUGGCGGCGUGCCUAAUACAUGCAAGUCGAGCGAACAGACGAGGAGCUUGCUCCUCUGACGUUAGCGGCGGACGGGUGAGUAACACGUGGAUAACCUACCUAUAAGACUGGGAUAACUUCGGGAAACCGGAGCUAAUACCGGAUAAUAUUUUGAACCGCAUGGUUCAAUAGUGAAAGACGGUUUUGCUGUCACUUAUAGAUGGAUCCGCGCCGCAUUAGCUAGUUGGUAAGGUAACGGCUUACCAAGGCAACGAUGCGUAGCCGACCUGAGGGGGUGAUCGGCCACACUGGAACUGAGACACGGUCCAGACUCCUACGGGAGGCAGCAGUAGGGAAUCUUCCGCAAUGGGCGAAAGCCUGACGGAGCAACGCCGCGUGAGUGAUGAAGGUCUUCGGAUCGUAAAACUCUGUUAUUAGGGAAGAACAAAUGUGUAAGUAACUAUGCACGUCUUGACGGUACCUAAUCAGAAAGCCACGGCUAACUACGUG